Molecule: ribosomal RNA, 307 nt
Filed under: uncultured eukaryote
Lineage: Eukaryota
Description: partial 18S ribosomal RNA
Rfam family: Eukaryotic small subunit ribosomal RNA
Source: RNAcentral
CCCUUAGACGUUCUGGGCCGCACGCGCGCUACACUGACGAAGGCAACGAGCUACUCUUCACCGAAAGGUGUGGGUAAUCUUUUGAAACUUCGUCGUGCUGGGGAUAGAUCCUUGCAAUUUUUGAUCUUAAACGAGGAAUUCCUAGUAAGCGCAAGUCAUCAACUUGCGUUGAUUACGUCCCUGCCCUUUGUACACACCGCCCGUCGCUACUACCGAUUGAAUGGUUUAGUGAGGCCUUCGGAUCCGCGAUUUUAUUGUGGAGAAGUUGGACAAACUCAGUCAUUUAGAGGAAGUAAAAGUCGUANCA